Molecule: transfer RNA, 58 nt
Filed under: Urocitellus parryii (Arctic ground squirrel)
Lineage: Eukaryota; Metazoa; Chordata; Mammalia; Rodentia; Sciuridae
Also listed under: 2 other names
Description: Spermophilus parryii (Arctic ground squirrel) tRNA
Rfam family: tRNA
About the family: Transfer RNA (tRNA) molecules are approximately 80 nucleotides in length.
Source: Rfam by way of RNAcentral
UAACUCAGUUGGUGGAGUGCUUGCCUUGCAGGCAUAAGGCCCUGGGUUCAAUCCCCAG